GUAAGGGCCCAGGUAGACUACCUGGUCGAUAGGCGGCAGGUGCAAGCGCGGCGACUCGUUCAGCCGAGCCGUACUAAUAGCCCGAGCUCUUACCCGC
Molecule: ribosomal RNA, 97 nt
Filed under: Acinetobacter sp. 163
Lineage: Bacteria; Pseudomonadati; Pseudomonadota; Gammaproteobacteria; Moraxellales; Moraxellaceae
Description: partial 23S ribosomal RNA
Rfam family: Bacterial large subunit ribosomal RNA
Source: RNAcentral